CGGCGGAACUACAUUGUCCAGAAUGCCUUGAGAAGAGCAUGCGCAGUGAGGUGCAAAGGGGACUAUAUAAGGGCGCCGAGUGCGUCUGCGCGGCCUUUUCCACGCGGCUUCCGAAGAGGGCAAGCAUGCACAAUGUACUCUAUCAGAAAACUAUCCAGACAGGUGUGGGAGUCACCUGAAAUGCCAAGGUUUUGUCAGACUUUUGAAAGAAUAGCAAGAUGAAAAUGAAGCACUGGAAAAGACGGAGACAGAAAUGAUUGGUUCUAAAAGUAGACAUGGCUGGAUUGGGAUGAAACAGAGCACUUCUUUUGAACAGACCAGAGAAGCAUAAAAAUAGUUCGAUUGGAUUAGACUUCUGGUCAGUGAGGAGGCAGCUGGUCUUUCCACCCCACUCUAAGGAAGGAUUGGAGGCUCUAAGAUGGUUGGUUCGAUCGGAUUAGACUUCUGGACAAAGAGGAGGCAGCUGGUCUUUCCACCCCACUCUAAGGAAGGAUUGGAGGCUCUAAGGUUCAAAGAUUCUAGGUUACUUGGCUGGUUGGCUGCUUUGAAGCUGAAGUUAUCCACAGAAUCAGCUGCAAUGUUGAAUAUUCUAGAGAAGAAUUGAUUUGGAAUUCAGUACUGAUGAUGACCAAUAAACACAUUACUUGUACACUAGCAAA
Anolis carolinensis (green anole) is the source of this 659-nucleotide long non-coding RNA. RefSeq lists it as uncharacterized. The record is from RefSeq and is a predicted model, not a curated record. Lineage: Eukaryota; Metazoa; Chordata; Lepidosauria; Squamata; Anolidae. The transcript has 6 exons.